AGUGAAACAUGUAGCAACUCAAAUAUAAACAUGAAGAAUCAGGUUCUCUUAGUAGUUGACUAUAAGCUCAUUAAGUAAAAGUUUAAAUUAGCAAACUUGUUUUCCUCAUAAAGAAAUCAGGAUUGCCUUUCUCUUUCCUAGAUCUGAACUAUUCAAUUAUUUUUCUUUUUAUGCCAUAGUUCACAAAGAUGUCCAAAACUAAUGGCUUAUCAGAAGAUUUGAUAUGGCACUGUAAAACACUGAUCCAAGAAAGAGAUGUAGUUAUAAGGCUUAUGAACAAAUGUGAAGACAUUUCAAAUAAAUUGACCAAACAAGUUACCAUGCUUACUGGAAAUGGAGGUGGAUGGAACAUAGAACAACCUUCCAUUCUAAACCAAAGUUUGUCACUCAAGCCCUAUCAGAAGGUUGGUUUGAAUUGGCUGGCAUUGGUACAUAAACAUGGACUUAAUGGCAUUUUGGCAGAUGAAAUGGGCCUAGGAAAAACUAUUCAAGCCAUUGCAUUUCUGGCAUACCUCUAUCAGGAGGGUAAUAAUGGUCCUCAUUUGAUCGUUGUU
Molecule: small RNA, 554 nt
Filed under: Pan troglodytes (chimpanzee)
Lineage: Eukaryota; Metazoa; Chordata; Mammalia; Primates; Hominidae
Description: retained intron
Source: RNAcentral